GGACUACUCGGGUUUCUAAUCCUGUUUGCUCCCCUUGCUCUCGCGCCUCAGCGUCAGGUGUAAACUAGAAAACCGCUUUCGCCACUGGUGUUCUUCCACAUAUCUACGCAUUUCACCGCUACACGUGGAAUUCCGUUUUCUCCGUCAACCCUCUAGAUUGAUAGUUUCAAAUGCAGCUCCUAGGUUGAGCCCAGGAAUUUCACAUCUGACUUAUCUAUCCGCCUACGCGCCCUUUACGCCCAAUAAUUCCGAUUAAUGCUUGCACCCUACGUAUUACCGCGGCUGCUGGCAC
This 292-nucleotide ribosomal RNA is filed under the name uncultured bacterium. RNAcentral describes it as "partial 16S ribosomal RNA". The record is from RNAcentral.